Molecule: unclassified non-coding RNA, 269 nt
Filed under: Glomeraceae sp.
Lineage: Eukaryota; Fungi; Glomeromycota; Glomeromycetes; Glomerales; Glomeraceae
Description: partial internal transcribed spacer 2
Source: RNAcentral
GUGAAUCAUCGAAUUUUUGAACGCAAAUUGCACUCUCUUCUGAUAGUAGGCCUGUUUUAGUUUCAGUAUUAAUAAAAAUCUGCUUUUUUCUCUUUUGUGACGUUCCUGAGUUUGUUUCAUCUGAUAACAACACCCUUUCAAGUUAUUUUUAAGAGUCUUAAAAUUGACCUUUUGUAUGCAUUUUAGUCUUACAUAAAUUUUUUUUUAUUCGUCUAUCUUAAUUCCACAUCUCUAUUAGAUGCUACCGUAUCGUUUGGUUCCGUGCUUAU